ACGAACGCUGGCGGCGUGCUUAACCCAUGCCCGUCGAACGGAAAGGCCCUGCUUGCAGGGUACUCGAGUGGCGAACGGGUGAGUAACACGUGGGUGAUCUGCCCUGCACUUCGGGAUAAGCCUGGGAAACUGGGUCUAAUACCGGAUAGGAGCCAUUUUUAGUGUGAUGGUUGGAAAGUUUUUUCGGUGUAGGAUGAGCUCGCGGCCUAUCAGCUUGUUGGUGGGGUAAUGGCCUACCAAGGCGGCGACGGGUAGCCGGCCUGAGAGGGUGGACGGCCACAUUGGGACUGAGAUACGGCCCAGACUCCUACGGGAGGCAGCAGUGGGGAAUAUUGCACAAUGGGCGCAAGCCUGAUGCAGCGACGCCGCGUGGGGGAUGACGGCCUUCGGGUUGUAAACUCCUUUCGCUAGGGACGAAGCUUUUUGUGACGGUACCUAGAUAAGAAGCACCGGCUAACUACGUG
RNAcentral lists this ribosomal RNA (464 nucleotides) under uncultured bacterium. RNAcentral describes it as "partial 16S ribosomal RNA". It matches the Rfam family "Bacterial small subunit ribosomal RNA", at positions 29 to 507 of the family's 1533-position model. The record is from RNAcentral.